GUCCCUGUAGCGCAAUGGAUGGCGUGUUGGACGUUUCAUCCAAAAUGGGGGUUCGAAUCCCACCUGGGAUG
This is a non-coding RNA of Trichonephila clavipes, 71 nucleotides long. The record is from the annotation of a GenBank genome assembly. NCBI's taxonomy places the organism in Eukaryota, Metazoa, Arthropoda, Arachnida, Araneae, Nephilidae.